RNAcentral lists this small nuclear RNA (151 nucleotides) under Panthera leo (lion). RNAcentral's name for it is "U4 spliceosomal RNA (ENSPLOG00000016928.1)". The stretch from base 1 to 131 matches the Rfam family "U4 spliceosomal RNA". Rfam says of the family: U4 small nuclear RNA (U4 snRNA) is a component of the major U2-dependent spliceosome. The structure of U4 snRNA from yeast and human has been reported. The record is from RNAcentral. Lineage: Eukaryota; Metazoa; Chordata; Mammalia; Carnivora; Felidae.
AGCUUUGCGCAGUGGCAGUAUCAUAGUCAAUGAGGUUUAUCCGAGGUGUGAUUAUUGCUAAUUCAAAUAUUUAAAAUAUACUUCGUAUUUUGAAAAACCAAAUUAAAGUUGAAUUAUAGAAUCUGAAAGAUGAACACAGUUGGCCUUCCAG